ACUCUUUAGACCACAGGUUGCAUCGUAUGGAGAUACUUUGUGAACCACUUUUAAAUGAUUUAGGAUAUCUUCCUUCUAAACCGACCUACCAAAAUUUGCGAUGUCUCCUGUAGACAGACCGACCAUCUAUUGACCGACUGUAUUGCGACAUCUCUGCAUCACCCUAGCCCUGAUGAAGAGGCGAUACUCCCCAUAAGCCUCUAAACGUUGGCACCUCUGUCUGUACCCACGAGACAGUUUGGAAGGGUUCUCUGUUGCACCUUUUUGUCGCUUUAUUAUAUAUACAAUUUUUUGAGUUUGUCUUAUCUUGAGUGAUGCUUAGUGCCGUUGAUGGUCUCUUACCCUAGGUUGUGCCUUCUCCCCCACUUGGUCAGUUGGAUGUUUUGUUGUUCAUGCUGUUAACACUCACUUUGAUACGUUGUCUACGAACAACACCAUUGAAAUAAAAUUUGAUAUUUUUGAUA
Rana temporaria (common frog) is the source of this 464-nucleotide long non-coding RNA. RefSeq lists it as uncharacterized. The record is from RefSeq and is a predicted model, not a curated record. The transcript is spliced from 2 exons. NCBI's taxonomy places the organism in Eukaryota, Metazoa, Chordata, Amphibia, Anura, Ranidae.